RNAcentral lists this ribosomal RNA (459 nucleotides) under uncultured bacterium. RNAcentral's name for it is "partial 16S ribosomal RNA". It matches the Rfam family "Bacterial small subunit ribosomal RNA", at positions 338 to 795 of the family's 1533-position model. The record is from RNAcentral.
CCUACGGGAGGCAGCAGUGAGGAAUAUUGGUCAAUGGCCGGAAGGCUGAACCAGCCAAGUCGCGUGCGGGACGACUGCCCUAUGGGUUGUAAACCUCUUUUAUAAGGGAGAAAUAAAUGCUACGUGUAGCAUGGUGCCUGUACCUUAUGAAUAAGCAUCGGCUAACUCAGUUCCAGCAGCCGCGGUAAUACGGGGGAUGCGAGGUUUAUCCGGAUUUAGUGGGUUUCAAGGGUGCGUAGGCGGUUUUUUAAGUUAGUGGUUAAACGCCGGGGCUUCAACUUGAUUGGCCAUUAAUACUGUAAGACUCGAGUUCAGACGAGGUAGGCGGAAUAAGUUAAGUAGCGGUGAAAUGCUUAGAUAUAACUUAGAACUCCGAUAGCGAAGGCAGCUUACCAGACUGCGACUGACGCUGAAGCACGAGAGCGUGGGUAGCGAACAGGAUUAGAUACCCCAGUAGUC